This 877-nucleotide ribosomal RNA is filed under the name uncultured eukaryote. Its description in RNAcentral is "SSU rRNA". It matches the Rfam family "Eukaryotic small subunit ribosomal RNA", at positions 636 to 1469 of the family's 1831-position model. The record is from RNAcentral.
CGGUGUUCAACUGGCGUGUCCGCGGGACGUCCUGCCGGUGGGCUUAGCCCGCAAGGGCGGCCCAACUUUAAAUCCCAUCGCGGUGCUCUUCACUGAGUGUCGAGGUGGGCCGGCACGUUUACUUUGAACAAAUUAGAGUGCUUAAAGCAGGCUAAAACUUCGCCUGAAUACUGUGUGCAUGGAAUAAUGGAAUAGGACCUCGGUUCUAUUUUGUUGGUUUUCGGAACCCCGAGGUAAUGAUUAAUAGGAACGGAUGGGGGCAUUCGUAUUGCGACGUUAGAGGUGAAAUUCUUGGAUCGUCGCAAGACGGACAGAAGCGAAAGCAUUUGCCAAAAACGCUUUCAUUGAUCAAGAACGAAAGUUAGAGGUUCGAAGGCGAUCAGAUACCGCCCUAGUUCUAACCAUAAACGAUGCCAGCUAGCGAUCCGUCGACGUUCCUCCGAUGACUCGACGGGCAGCUUCCGGGAAACCAAAGCUUUUGGGUUCCGGGGGAAGUAUGGUUGCAAAGCUGAAACUUAAAGGAAUUGACGGAAGGGCACCACCAGGAGUGGAGCCUGCGGCUUAAUUUGACUCAACACGGGAAACCUCACCAGGCCCGGACACCGGAAGGAUUGACAGAUUGAGAGCUCUUUCUUGAUUCGGUGGGUGGUGGUGCAUGGCCGUUCUUAGUUGGUGGAGCGAUUUGUCUGGUUAAUUCCGAUAACGAACGAGACUCUAGCCUGCUAACUAGGCGUAUUUUCGACAUCUCAAAGGUCCGUCGUCCCGGCCCUCGGGUCGUGGGCGUGCGCGAUUUUUACUGUCGGCGUACUAUCAAUUCUUCUUAGAGGGACAGGUGGCUUCUAGCCGCACGAGAUUGAGCAAUAACAGGUCUGUGAUG